UCCUUCUUUUUUCAGUUGAUGUCAAGCUGCAAUCGUGAGACAAGUGUACCUGUCCAUCAUUAACCGUGUCAUUAUGAUUGAACAGUUAGAUUUUCUCACGUUGCAUAAAAUCCGUGACUUUUACUUGCUGUGGUCCAGUCCAGUUUCUUUGCUUUGCCUUUGGAACCAGAAACCAGGAGAUUCCUUCCUCCUUCUUGAAUUUGCUCAAACAACCAGGAGAUUCCUUCCUCCUUUUUGAAUUUGCUCAAACACACAUCAUCAAAAGAGGUUUAUACUCUGCAGUACUUCAAUUUUGCUCAUUCCAACACAACGAGGAAUUGAGUGAUUCUCAAUAUUUAUGUGUUAAGCAGUUUAAUGGUGAUGCAAAAUUAUCUGGAGGCAGCCCACUAUUAGGAGGAAGCAACCAAACUUAUCACAUUCAGCUUUGGUCCAUCUUAGUGGCCGUGAGAAAAUAUUUCCUGGCUAAGGCACAAGUAAAA
Populus euphratica (Euphrates poplar) is the source of this 479-nucleotide long non-coding RNA. RefSeq lists it as uncharacterized. The transcript is spliced from 4 exons. Lineage: Eukaryota; Viridiplantae; Streptophyta; Magnoliopsida; Malpighiales; Salicaceae. The record is from RefSeq and is a predicted model, not a curated record.